RNAcentral lists this ribosomal RNA (254 nucleotides) under uncultured bacterium. RNAcentral's name for it is "partial 16S ribosomal RNA". It matches the Rfam family "Bacterial small subunit ribosomal RNA", at positions 524 to 776 of the family's 1533-position model. The record is from RNAcentral.
GACAGAGGGUGCAAACGUUGCUCGGAAUCACUGGGCGUAAAGAGCCCGUAGGUGGUUCGGUAAGUCGGAUGUGAAAUCUCCAGGCUCAACCUGGAGGGGUCAUUCGAUACUGCCGUGACUAGAGGUCGGUAGGGGAGUGUGGAAUUCCUGGUGGAGCGGUGAAAUGCGCAGAUAUCAGGAGGAACACCCGUAGCGAAGGCGGCACUCUGGGCCGAUACUGACACUGAGGAGCGAAAGCGUGGGGAGCGAACAGG